AGAGUUUGAUCCUGGCUCAGGAUAAACGCUGGCGGCAUGCCUAAUACAUGCAAGUCGAACGGAGAGUAAGAAGCUUGCUUCUUAUGAUCAGUGGCGAACGGGUGAGUAACACGUGGUUAACCUGCCCAUCAGCCUGGGACAACUUUUGGAAACGAAAGCUAAUACCGGAUAGGAAGAAAUUUUAAAGAGGCGAAUGCCUC
Molecule: ribosomal RNA, 200 nt
Filed under: uncultured bacterium
Lineage: Bacteria
Description: partial 16S ribosomal RNA
Rfam family: Bacterial small subunit ribosomal RNA
Source: RNAcentral